UAAUUCUUGGACUCUAGCUAGGAUAAACUGAGUCCUAAUUCUGACAAGGACCUAAAGUGCUGGAAUAUUAAUUUCUAAUUGACUUAUUGUAAACAACAAAACUUAAUAGCAUUACUUAGACAAAGCUCAAACUAACCAACUAAUUUAUCAACUAACAAUCAAGUACUCUUUAACAAGCCUGAUGUACAACUCAAUUUUGAUUUUGUAACAUUUCUCUAUCCUUAAAAAGAGUCCUUGUCCUCAAGGAAGGAAUUGAGGAAACCUGGUCUUCAAGGUUGCGUAAUCUUCCCAUGUUACUUGUUCAACAAGAAUGCCUUGCCACUGAAUGAGCACCUGAGCUACAGCUUUGUUCCCUUUCUUUAUCAUUCUCCUUUCCAAAAUCUUUUCUGGUUCCACACAAAAUGGACUAGCUAUAUCAAUCACUGUGGGAUGAUUGAAGGAACUAGGUACCUCAUUACAUGGUUUGAGUUAAAAAAACAUGAAAUAAAGGAUGCAGAGCUACAUGAUCAGGUCAGGAUAGUUUAUAGGCCACAGUUACCACCUUCUACAACACUUGGUAAGGGCCAUAGUACUUAGCGAAUAGCUUGAUGAAAGGCUGGUCUGAGAGAGAUAAUUACCUAUAAAGUUGGAUCCUUAAGUAAACCCUAUCUCCUACUUGAAAUUGUCUAUCAAUCCUAUCUUUGUUGGUUUAAUUCCCCAUUAUUGGUCGAGCUCGAGCUAUAUGAAACUUUAGUAGUUGAGUCUUAAACUCUUUAGUAACCAGGCUCCUAUCUACUUCUCAAUCCAUAGACUCCCAGGAAGAUAAGGCAAAUGCACAGGGGGUUUUUGUCCAUACAAAUCUUCAUAGGGACUUUCCUAGAUGGAAGAAUAGAAUGUUAUAAUGUACCACAGCUCUGCUAGAGGUAAGUACGCCACCCAAUCAUGUUGAAUAUCUGAGCAAUAGCACCUUAAGUAUUUCUCUAAUAUUUUACUAACCACCUUAGUUUAACUAUCUGACUGAGGGUGGUAUGUUGUGGAUGUUCUUAGAGUAGCUCCUUGCAUAGUAAAUAGCUCCUGCCAAAGCCUGCUAACAAAUAUCGUGUUCUUGUCACUUACUAUAUUUUCUAGCAUCCCAUGCAAUUUGAAAAUCUAAUCCAUGAAUACUUGAGCUACUCCAGCUAUAAUAUAAGGGUGGGGAGGUGAAGUGACUGCACUAAGUGAACCUAUCAACUACUACCAUAAUUGUGGUCUUUUAUCUUAACUUUGGCAACCCUUUAAUAAAAUCUAAGUUAAUGCUAGCCCAAGCAGAUGAGGGUAUUAUAGAGGUUGAAUCAAUCCUAGUGAUGCUACAUAUCAAAUUUACUCCUCUGAAAAGUAGCACACUGUUUGACAUACAUCACUUCAUCCUCCUUCAUACCCUUCUAGUAAAAUAGAGCAACUAUUCUCCUGUGAGUGUUAUCCAUGCCCGAGUGACCAGAUGUUGCAGAGUUAUGUCAAUUUUGAUUAAUUUCCUUCCUCAAUUGGAGGUCCUUUCCUACAACCAACUUGCCAUGCUUUCUUAGCUAUUGGUGAAUGAAAGUGUAGCCCUUAAUUGACUCUCUUUGAUCGCUGAUCUUGUUUACCAAGCUAGUUAAGUCUGGAUCCUUAUCCGAGCUAUCUUUCAUCCUCUAAAAUAAGGUAGAAUCUACUAGUGCUAUUGCUAAUAUAAAGAGCUCAGUGGAGGGCAUUCUUGACAAGGCAUCUGCUACCUUAUUUUUUCUUUCCUUUUUAUAUUCUAUCAUAAAGUCAUAUUGUAUAAGUUUGGCCACCCAUUUUAUUUGAAACCCUAUAUGCAACUUCUGAUCCAAAAGGUAUUUAAGGGCCUUCUGAUCAGUCUUCACCACAAAGUGUCUUUCCAUCAAAUAUUGGUUCCACUUGGUGAUAGCCAUCACUAAAGUUAGUAUCUCUUUAUCAUACACAGAUAGAGUCAUAUGUCUUCCUAAUAAUCCUUUACUCACAAAAGCUAUAGGAUGCCCUUGCAUCAGCACAACUCCAAUACCUAAGUUACAUGCUUGUUUGGUAAUACUAGCACUGGGGCAGUAGUUAAUGCAACCUUCAAACUGUCAAAUGCAUUUGAGGCUUUGCUGGACCAUUUGAACCCUUCAUUUUUAGGAAGUCAAUCAAUGGUUUUCUAAUGAUUUCGUAUAACCUGAUGAACCUUCUGUACUAACAAAGAGCCCCAGAAAACCCCUGAGUUCCUUGACAUAUUUGGAAAUUGGCCACCUCUAUACUGUAUCUAUCUUUCUGUGAUCAUUUGAAACUCUUUCUACUAAUAUAAAAUGACCAAAGUAUUAAUUUUACUAGCUCCAAAAGUGCACUUCCCCUUUAUAGCAUACAACUAAUGUUUCUCAAGUAGCUCAAAAGUGAUCCUCAAGUGUAGUAAAUAUUUUUCCAAGCUACUACUAAACACUAAAAUAUCAUCAAAGAAAACUAGUAUAAACUUCCUCAUAUAUGCCUUAAACAUAUGGUUCAUUAAACUUUGGAAACUGGAAGAAGCAUUAGUGAGGCCAAAUAGCGUGAGCAUGUACUCAUAAUACCCUGCAUGAGUCUUGAAAGUUGUUUUCUGAAUAUCUUCAUCUGUCAUUCUUAUUUGGUGAUAACCUGAUCUAAGAUCUAUUUUAGAGUAAAUCUUUGAACCACCCAACUCAUCCAAUGACUCCUCAAUAAUGGGAAUAAGAAAAUUUUCCUUAAUAGUAACCUUGUUGAGAACUCUAUAAUCUACACAAUGCCUCCAUGGCCCAUCUUUUUUGCCUACAAGCACCAUUGGAGAUGCAUAUGGAUUGCAACUAGGUUGAAUGAUCCCCUGAUUAAGUUUACUGAACCAACUUAUCUAUCACAUCAUUCUGUUGUGAGGAAUAUUUGUAUGGUCUGGAGUUGAUUGGAUUAGCAUUUUGAUACAAAGGUAUCCUAUGAUCAAAAUGGCCUCUUGUAGGAGGUAGUCCAAGAGGUUCUGAAAACACCUUGUCAAAUUGCUUAGUGAGAUCCAAAAUCAAGGGAUGGUCCCCUUGUUCUUCACCUUUUCUCUUCGCUUUAGUCUUGUAAGACCCCGUAAAAUGCUAAAGCUUAAUACAGUCCUUUAAGAGUGUCAAGGGGGUCCUAGACUUAGAAAAUUUUAGCUACAUUCCAGACUUAGCUAUAUUUUGGCCUUCAAAAUUUGACAAAUUUAUGUUGCCAUCUUAAUGUACUUUAAUGGUCCGUAAUUUUAUUGAUUCAUGAUCAGGAAAGUCAAAAGGUGUUUCCGGACAAGUUUCAGAUUCUUUGGAAACUCAUUUAGAUCAAGAUUGGAAGUCCAAAAUAGUGGACCAAUGCAAUCUUGGUGCGUCGCGUCGCCAAUCGCGUUGGUUACCUGUUGUGCAGACUACCAAAGCCAAAACAACUGAGGGUUGACACGUUCAUGGCGCACCGCAUCGGGUAUAGCGCCGCAGCCCUCAACACGUCGUGUCACUCAUAGCGUCAGUGCCCAGUUAUUUAGUCAUUAAAUGUUUGCAUUUUUAAGGGCAAUUGGGUAAUUUUCCCAACCCUAUAUAAGGCUUAAACACUGGAUUAAGCCUCAUUUACACCAAAAUACACCUUUUUCUCUCAAUAUUCUCCCAAGAACACAUUAGGGUUUUUAAUUAGGGAUCCAAGUCCAAGAAAAUUUCUUUGUGAAUCAUCAAGAAUCUUCCAUCUAAGGUAUACAUAGUGUUCAUUCAUGGACUCAUUUCGUCUAUGAAGCCCAAGAAUCAAGUUUUAAAUUACAAAUUGUGAUAUUCAUUCUAUGAAUUGAAUUGAAUUAUGUUCAUGUGUUGUUGUUGUAUGAAUUCCAAGAUGGAACCUUUAUUAUGUCUUUAUGAAAUUAGCUAAUAUGUGGACUGAAAUCAUGAAAUUGGGUUGAAUUGCGAAGUAAGGUUGUAUUAAAUUCAUGCUCAUGCCUAAGCCUUAAAUCAUACAAUCUAAGUGUUUGAUAAAAUACCUAGGAAAAUAGAAAUUAUGCUUGAUAGUUAAAUUGUGACCCAAGUUAUGAAUGUAUGCGUUCCCCUAUAUUUAAAAUAAUUUUCAUGAGGAUUAUUUUGUAAUACAAUUGCGUGAUGAUAUAAUUAUGAUAUUAAAAUGAUAAAGUUAUGACAUGAUCAUGUGCAUUCUAAGCUAUAUACAAGAUUAUGAUAACCAUGUGCUUCAUGAAAUAUCCCUACUGUCAUAGUACGAAUUGUUGAAGUUGGCCAUGUAUUCACGAAAGUCAUGCUUUGUCAGUUUUCCUUCUAUCGAGUCCUGGGGUUACUUGUAUCCAAAAAAUAUAUUUGUGUACCUAAAGCCAGUAUCAUGUUUCACGAUAUUCUUAGUCAAGCCAUGAUCCAUAGAAAUCAGUCAGACAUGUGACUCAAGAAAUCUCAGUAAAUUCAGAAAUCUCAGUAGUAUUUUGCCAGUCAACGAAACUCUAAAAAAUCAGUCUAGUCUAGUUUAGUUAAUUAUGUUCAGUAUCUAUUUAGAUGGGAGUAGGAAUUAGCACCGAGUGAACCCAUGGAUGGGAACUCACCUUUUAUAUGAGGGUGUGAUUCUUAGAAGCAAUCCUUGUGUUCCUGAACUACGUAGCCAGCGUAGGUUGAGAUACCAUAGCCUGUUAUAUGAGGGUGGAUGUGAUGGAUUAACCUGUUAUAUGAGGGUUUCCAUCGUUCUCACUAGAUUUACCUAUUAUAUGAGGGUUGCUCACAAAUUUUCCUUACUAGUGGUGCGGUAUUGACACUCUUCCAAUUGGGGUUACAGAUUGGACCCUAACUCAGCUAUAUUGUGAUUAUUUAGGGCAUGUCAGUUAGAUAACUACUUUCCAUAGUUUCAGUUAUAGAAUUAGGACUUCAGGUACAAUCAUUCAGCCUCAGUAAUAGAACUCAGAUAGUUCUACAGAAUUCAGGACUAUCAGAUACAGUCAACUCAGAAUAGUACGAAACUCAGCUAGUUCCAUCAGAACAUAGACUGUCAGAUACAGUCGCUCAGUAUCAGUUAUAUCAGUUAUACUAGUUUUAUUAGUUAUAUCAGUUAUCAAUAACUCAUGAUACCAGUAAUCAAUUUCAGGACUGUCAAAUAUAGUCAAUCAGACCAGUUCUUCAUAAUCAGAACUAUUAGAAACAAUCAUUCCUCUAUCAGUAAUAUAUCAUCAGUUCCCUAGUAUUCAGUAGACUCAGUUAUCAGUAUCAGUAAACCCAGAUAUUAGUAAAUAAGUACUCAAAACUUAGUACCCAGUGUCAUUAUGGUGUCAAUUACAGUUAAUUAUUCAUGCAUGUAUUCUCACGUUUAUGUUAUAUAGUCAUUUAGUAUUGUUAUUUUUAUUGAUUCAUGGUCAGGAAGGUCAAAAGUUAUUUUCGGAUAAGUUUUGGAUUUUUUAGAAACUCAUUUAGAUCAAGAUUGAAAGUCCAAAAUAGUGGACCAACACGAUCUUGGCGAGCCACGUCGCCAAUCGCAUUGGUCACCAGUUGUACAGACUGCCAAAACCAAAAUAACUGAGGCUUGACGCGUUCAUGGAGCGCCGUGUCGGGUCUAGCAUCGCAACCCUCGAUGCGUCGCAUCACUUAUAGCAUCUGUGUUCAGUUAUUUAGUCAUUAAAUGUCCGCCUUUUUAAGGGAAAAAGGGUAAUUUUCCCAACCCUAUAUAAGGCUUAAACACGGAAUUAAGCCUCAUUUACACCAAAAUACACCCUUUUCUCUCAAAAUCCUCUCAAGAACACAUUAGAGUUUUCAAUUGGGGAUUCAAGUACAAGCAAAUUUAUUUGUGAAUCAUCAAGAAUCUUUCAUGUAAGGUAUGCAUAGUGUUCAUUCAUGGACUCUUUUCAUCUAUGAAUCCCAAGAAUCAAGUUUUAAAUUACGAAUUAUGAUAUUCAUUCUAUGAAUUGAAUUAUGUUCAUGUGUUGUUGUUGUAUGAAUUCCAAGAUGGAACCUUUAUUAUGUCUUUGUGAAAUUACGCUAAUAUGUGGACUAAAAUUAUGAAAUUGGAUUGAAUUGUGGAGGUUGUAUUGAAUUCAUGAUCAUGCCUAAGCCUUAAAUCAUGCAAUCUAAGUGUUUAAAAAAAUGCCUAGGAAAAUAAAAAUUAUGCUUGAUAGUUAAAUUGUGACCCAAUUUAUGAAUGUACGUAUUCCCUUAUGUUUGAAAUAAUUUCCAUGAGGAUUGUUUUGUAAUACAAUUGCGUGAUGAUAUAAUUAUGAUAUUAAAAUGAUGAAGUUAUAACAUGAUCAUGUGUAUUCUAAGCUAUAUACAAGAUUAUGAUAACCAUGUGCUUCAUGAAAUAUCCCCUACUGUUGUAGUAUAAAGUGUUGAUGUUGGCCAUGUAUUCACGAAAGUCAUGCUUUGUCAGUUUUCCUUCUAUCGAGUCCUGGGGGUACUUGUACCCAAAAAAUAUAUCUGUGUACCUUGAGCCAGUGUCAUGUUUCACGAUAUCUUCAGUUAAGCCAUGAUCCAUAGAACUCAGGCAGCUAUGUGACGCAGGAAAUCUUAGUAAAUUCAGAAAUCUCAGUAGUAUUCCGUCAGUUAAUGGAACUCCAAGAAAUCAGUCUAGUCCAGUUCAGUUAAUUAUGUUUAGUGUCUAUUCAGAUGGGAGUAGGAAUUAGCACCGAGUGAACCCAAGGAUGGGAACUCACUUGUUACAUGAGGGUGUGAUUCUUAGAAGCAAUCCUUGUGUUCCUGAACUACGUAGCCAGCGUAGGUUGAGAUACCAUAGCCUGUUAUAUGAGGGUGGA
RNAcentral lists this long non-coding RNA (6718 nucleotides) under Capsicum annuum. RNAcentral's name for it is "long non-coding RNA (CANN_LNC017814)". Lineage: Eukaryota; Viridiplantae; Streptophyta; Magnoliopsida; Solanales; Solanaceae. The record is from RNAcentral.